CUCUCUCUCUCUAUAUAUAUAUAUAUAUAUCUCUAUGUGGGACCCCUAGUCAGUCGUCAGUCAUCUCUCUCUCUCUCUAUAUAUAUAUAUAUAUAUCUCUCUGUAGGACUCCUAGUCAGUCAUCAGUCAUCUCUCUCUCUCUCUCUAUAUAUAUAUAUAUCUCUCUAUGUGGGACCCCUAGUCAGUCCCCUCUCUCUCUCUCUCUCUAUAUAUAUAUAUAUCUCUAUGUAGGACCCCUAGUCAGUCCCCUUCCCCUCUCUCUCUCUCUCUCUCUCUCUCUCUAUAUAUAUAUCUAUGAGGGACCCCUAGUCAGUCAUCAGUCCUCUCUCUCUCUAUAUAUAUAUAUAUGUCUAUGUGGGACCCCUAGUCAGUCAUCAGUCAUCUCUCUCUCUCUAUAUAUAUAUAUAUCUAUGUAGGACUCCUAGUCAGUCCCC
Molecule: long non-coding RNA, 434 nt
Filed under: Salmo salar (Atlantic salmon)
Lineage: Eukaryota; Metazoa; Chordata; Actinopteri; Salmoniformes; Salmonidae
Description: lncRNA (ENSSSAG00000100070.1, ENSSSAG00000113322.1)
Source: RNAcentral